RNAcentral lists this ribosomal RNA (2053 nucleotides) under Cavernocypris sp. 1 MM-2022. Its description in RNAcentral is "SSU rRNA". It matches the Rfam family "Eukaryotic small subunit ribosomal RNA". Lineage: Eukaryota; Metazoa; Arthropoda; Ostracoda; Podocopida; Cyprididae. The record is from RNAcentral.
UAGUCAUAUGCUUGUCUCAAAGAUUAAGCCAUGCAGGUCUAAGUAUGAGCUGAACUAAAGUGAAACCGCGAAUGGCUCAUUACAUCAGUUAUGGUUCCUUAGAUCUUCGGUAUCCUACUUGGAUAACCCUGGAAAUUCUAGAGCUAAUACAUGCGAAAGAAGCUGCCAAUCCCGCAAGGGAGAGGGAGCGUUUUUGUUAGACCAGAACCAAUCGGGGGCACUCUGAAGGAUGGGGUAAAACCCAAACUUUUUGUGUCCCUGUCCCCACUUGGUGAGUCUGAACAACUUUGAGCGGAUCGCACUGCCUCGAGCAGGCGACGACUCUUUCAAAUGUCUGCCUUAUCAACUUGAUGGUAGGUUAUGCGCCUACCAUGGUGAUAACGGGUAACGGAGAAUCAGGGUUCGAUGCCGGAGAGGGAGCCUGAGAGACGGCUACCACAUCCAAGGAAGGCAGCAGGCACGCAAAUUACCCACUCCCAGAACGGGGAGGUAGUGACGAAAAAUAACAAUACGGGACUCAUCCGAGGCCCCGUAAUUGGAAUGAGUACACUUUAAAUCCUUUAACAAGGAUCCAUUGGAGGGCAAGUCUGGUGCCAGCAGCCGCGGUAAUUCCAGCUCCAAUAGCGUAUAUUAAAGUUGCUGCGGUUAAAAAGCUCGUAGUUGGAUCUCAGUCUCGGGCCAGUGGUUCACCUCAUGGGUGUUUUAACUGCUGUGCCCAGGCCUUAUAUAUUGAAAAAUUUGUGGCCGGAUCCCACCCCAGGUGCCCUUCACUGGGUGCCCGGAAAGGUGGCCGGAGCGUUUACUUUGAAAAAAUUGGAGUGCUCAAAGCAGGCGUUUGAUGGCCUGAACAGUCGUGCAUGGAAUAAUGGAAAAGGGCUGCUUCGGCAAAACUUUCUUGAUUGAAAAAGCUUGUUGGUCUCUAGCCGAAUAGUGGUAAUGGUUGAAGGGGACAGACGGGGGCAUUCGUAUUGCGACGUUAGAGGUGAAAUUCUUAGAUCGUCGCAAGACGGACUACUGCGAAAGCAUUUGCCAAGAAUGUUUUCAUUAAUCAAGAACGAAAGUCAGAGGUUCGAAGGCGAUCAGAUACCGCCCUAGUUCUGACCUUAAACGAUGCCAACUGGCGAUCUGUCAGGGGUGUUUUUCAUUCCAUGACCUGACAGGCAGCUUCCGGGAAACCAAAGUCUUUGGGUUCCGGGGGAAGUAUGGUUGCAAAGCUGGAACUUAAAGGAAUUGACGGAAGGGCACCACCAGGAGUGGAGCCUGUGGCUUAAUUUGACUCAACACGGGGAAACUUACCAGGCCAGGACACUGGCAGGAUUGACAGAUUGAGAGCUCUUUCUUGAUUCGGUGGAUGGUGGUGCAUGGCCGUUCUUAGUUGGUGGAGUGAUUUGUCUGGUUAAUUCCGAUAACGAACGAGACUCUGGCCUGCUAAAUAAGGCGGCGGGUUCCCAACUCCACUCUGUGGCUGAGUGUGUCUUGGGCAUUUUCAUUUCUUCUUGUGGGGGAAAAAAAUGUGGGUUGGGGGGGGUGGGAGAGCAGCUUGCUGUUUUCUUUAUUCUCUCUGCUCCUUUUUCAAACUCAUGAGGGGUGUGGAGGUGUUCAGGGCAUAUCUUGGUUCAGGUGGGGCCGCCCGUCCUUUGCGCUUCUCUUCUUAGAGGGACAAGGCAGCUUCAAGCUGCGUGAAAUGGGGCAAUAACAGGUCUGUGAUGCCCUUAGAUGUUCUGGGCCGCACACGCGCUACACUGAGGGUGGCAGCGUGUCUUUGAUCCUGGCUCGAGAUGGGCCGGGUAACCCUGUCAAUCACCCUCGUGCUGGGGAUUGAGGUUUGCAAUUUUCCUUCAUGAACGAGGAAUUCCCAGUAGGUGCGAGUCAUCAGCUCGCGCCGACUACGUCCCUGCCCUUUGUACACACCGCCCGUCGCUACUACCGAUUGAAUGAUUUAGUGAGGGCCUCAGACUGAGGCCAGGGAAGCACCUUCGGGGGCUGCGCUGGCUCUUGGAAAGACGUCCAAACUGUAUCAUUUAGAGGAAGUAAAAGUCGUAACAAGGUUUCC